ACGCACGCUGGCGGCAGGCCUCACACAUGCCAGUCGAGCGAGGACUUCGGUUCUAGCGGCGGACGGGUGAGUAACGCGUGGGAAUGUGCCCUUCUCUACGGAAUAGCCCUGGGAAACUGGGAGUAAUACCGUAUACGCCCUAUUGGGGAAAGAUUUAUCGGAGAAGGAUCAGCCCGCGUUGGAUUAGGUAGUUGGUGGGGUAAUGGCCUACCAAGCCGACGAUCCAUAGCUGGUUUGAGAGGAUGAUCAGCCACACUGGGACUGAGACACGGCCCAGACUCCUACGGGAGGCAGCAGUGGGGAAUCUUAGACAAUGGGGGCAACCCUGAUCUAGCCAUGCCGCGUGAGUGAUGAAGGCCUUAGGGUUGUAAAGCUCUUUCAGCUGGGAAGAUAAUGACGGUACCAGCAGAAGAAGCCCCGGCUAACUCCGUG
Molecule: ribosomal RNA, 432 nt
Filed under: uncultured bacterium
Lineage: Bacteria
Description: partial 16S ribosomal RNA
Rfam family: Bacterial small subunit ribosomal RNA
Source: RNAcentral